UACAGAGGGGGCAAGCGUUGUUCGGAAUUACUGGGCGUAAAGGGCGCGUAGGCGGCCCGCUAAGUCGAACGUGAAAUCCCCAGGCUCAACCUGGGAACUGCGUCCGAUACUGGUGGGCUUGAAUCCGGGAGAGGGAUGCGGAAUUCCAGGUGUAGCGGUGAAAUGCGUAGAUAUCUGGAGGAACACCGGUGGCGAAGGCGGCAUCCUGGACCGGCAUUGACGCUGAGGCGCGAAAGCUAGGGUAGCAAACGGGAUUAGAUACCCCCGUAGUCC
RNAcentral lists this ribosomal RNA (273 nucleotides) under uncultured bacterium. RNAcentral describes it as "partial 16S ribosomal RNA". It matches the Rfam family "Bacterial small subunit ribosomal RNA", at positions 524 to 796 of the family's 1533-position model. The record is from RNAcentral.